GAUGAACGCUGGCGGCGUGGCUAAGGCAUGCAAGUCGAACGAAGACAUUGGUGUAGCAAUACAUUGAUGUACUUAGUGGCAAACGGGAGCGUAACACAUUGGUAACGUGCCUCGACUUCGCGAACAACUCAGGGAAACUUGAGCUAAUACGCGAUAUGGAUGGGGGGCCGCAGGGCAUUCCCAUUGAAAGAUUUAUCGAAUCGAGAGCGACCUAUGUUCCAUCAGCUAGUUGGCGGGGUAACGGCCCACCAAGGCUAUGACGGAUACCAGGCGCGAGAGCGUGACCUGGCUCACUGGGACUGAGACGCUGCCCAGACUCCUACGGGAGGCUGCAGUCGCGAAUAUUCCACAAUGCACGAAAGUGUGACGGAGCGACGCCGCGUGUCGGAAGAAGGCCCUCGGGUCGUAAACGACUUUUAGCAGGGACGAACCAUGACGGUACCUGCAGAAUAAGAGGUUGCUAACUCUGUGCCAGCAGCAGCGGUAAUACAGAGACCUCAAGCGUUAUCCGGAUUUAUUGGGCGUAAAGCGUUCGUAGGCGGUUUUGUAAGUCGUUUGUUAAAUCUUCAGGCUUAACCUGGAGGCUGCAGGUGAUACUGCAAGACUUGAGUGUGGGAGAGGCAAGCGGAAUGCCCGGUGUAGCGGUAGAAUGUGUUAAUAUCGGGUAGAACACCAAAGGCGAAGGCAGCUUGCUGGAACACAACUGACGCUCAGUGAACGAAAGCGUGGGGAGCGAAAGGGAUUAGAUACCCCUGUAGUCCACGCUGUAAGCUAUGGCUACUAGAUUUUGGGAGUUUCGACCCUCUCAGAGUCGACGAAACAAGCUAACGCGUUAAGUAGCCCGCCUGGGAAGUACGGUCGCAAGACUAAAACUCAAAGGAAUAGACGGGGACCCGCACAAGCGGUGGAUCAUGCGGUUUAAUUCGAUGCAACGCGAGAAACUUCACCUGGGCUUGAAAUAUAGCUGUGGGCGAUUGGAAACAAACGCCGUCCUCGAGAUCGCCAUGUAGGUGCUGCAUGGCUGUCGUCAGCUCGUGCCGUGAGGUGU
Molecule: ribosomal RNA, 1048 nt
Filed under: Candidatus Microgenomatota
Lineage: Bacteria
Description: bacterial SSU rRNA
Rfam family: Bacterial small subunit ribosomal RNA
Source: RNAcentral